This 87-nucleotide small RNA is filed under the name Paraliobacillus sp. PM-2. RNAcentral's name for it is "BsrC". It matches the Rfam family "BsrC". From Rfam's summary of the family: The 301 nucleotide sequence from Kouji Nakamura has been trimmed to a highly conserved ~85 nucleotide long core to form this family. Lineage: Bacteria; Bacillati; Bacillota; Bacilli; Caryophanales; Bacillaceae. The record is from Rfam by way of RNAcentral.
UUUAACCUAAACAAUAUAAGCCCUACCUCUCUUAUAUUCUUACGACUCCGAAGUCGAUCCAGUGUGAAUAAGUCUUGCUAUUUGUAU